This 247-nucleotide ribosomal RNA is filed under the name uncultured Actinomycetes bacterium. RNAcentral describes it as "uncultured actinobacterium partial 16S ribosomal RNA". It matches the Rfam family "Bacterial small subunit ribosomal RNA", at positions 28 to 276 of the family's 1533-position model. Lineage: Bacteria; Bacillati; Actinomycetota; Actinomycetes. The record is from RNAcentral.
GACGAACGCUGGCGGCGUGCUUAACACAUGCAAGUCGAGCGGUAAGGCCCUUUCGGGGGUACACGAGCGGCGAACGAGUGAGUAACACGUGGGUGACCUGCCCUCAGCUCUGGGAUAAGCCUGGGAAACCGGGUCUAAUACCGGAUAUGACUCCAUGACGCAUGUUGUGGGGUGGAAAGCCUUGUGCGGCUGGGGAUGGGCCCGCGGCCUAUCAGCUUGUUGGUGGGGUGAUGGCCUACCAAGGCGA